CUUGACGGUGCCGAGCCACAGCGGGCGGCCGGCUUCCCGUUCCUGGCCGUACGUGGCGAGCAGCGCCUGGGCCUC
RNAcentral lists this antisense RNA (75 nucleotides) under Streptomyces sp. 2112.2. RNAcentral's name for it is "ASpks TB sRNA". It matches the Rfam family "ASpks TB sRNA". RNAcentral also lists the same sequence under 2 other names. Lineage: Bacteria; Bacillati; Actinomycetota; Actinomycetes; Kitasatosporales; Streptomycetaceae. The record is from RNAcentral.